This 70-nucleotide transfer RNA is filed under the name Disteniidae sp. BMNH 899837. RNAcentral describes it as "tRNA-Val". The record is from RNAcentral. Lineage: Eukaryota; Metazoa; Arthropoda; Insecta; Coleoptera; Cerambycidae.
CAAGCUAGAGCUUGCUAGAAAGCAUUUUAUUUACAUUAAAAAGUUAACUGUGAGAUUCAGUUUGGCUUGA